RNAcentral lists this small RNA (28 nucleotides) under Bombyx mori (domestic silkworm). RNAcentral's name for it is "piRNA piR-bmo-1849723". Lineage: Eukaryota; Metazoa; Arthropoda; Insecta; Lepidoptera; Bombycidae. The record is from RNAcentral.
UAUGCUUGUGUAAAUAAUAUAAUUUUGA